Molecule: long non-coding RNA, 964 nt
Organism: Limanda limanda (common dab)
Lineage: Eukaryota; Metazoa; Chordata; Actinopteri; Pleuronectiformes; Pleuronectidae
Exons: 4
Source: RefSeq, a predicted model, not a curated record
UGUGGAUUGGGGUAGUGACCUGUCUUUGCACUGCUUCAGCUCUAGCUGUCCUGUUAAUACGAAAACUACGGAGCCGAUCCUUCAGACUGUCACACAGAGACCAGGAGAAGACUGAGGUUCCUCAAACUGCAGACGCUGACACGGUCAAAGUUCCUUUGGUCACACCAGAGAAGAGUUCGGUCAGAGAACGGACACCUCAUUCGAAAUCGCAGCAGAGAAAAGGGACAGACCCUGAGUCGUAUUCAACAGCCAGAAGAAUUCAAUCUGACCAGGUCAAAGUAGCAUUUCUCCCACCAGAGAAGAGUUCAGUCAGAGAACAGUCACCUCCUUUGAAAUUGGAGCAGAAUAAAGAGACAGACCACCUGUCGUCUUCAAUAGCCAGAAGACUUCAAUAUGACCAGUAGGUGGACCUCAGGUCUCCACUGAAAGUCCAAUGAACGGGGGUAUCCAGCACUUCUACAACAGUCUUCAGACAUAUCCUGUGGUGAAUCUCCAGAGAACUGGCUCCAGACCUUCUCCACAGUUUUCCUUUCACACAUGCACGAUGCAUACGCUAUACGGACCCAGAAAUAUUAUUAUGUUUUCAUGGAGCGUUUCUGUAUUAACCCGCGCAGCUUUUUUGUCUCUUUGCGGUAGUAAAUCCUGGCAGCAAACGGUAAAUUUUACUUCUCUUACUGAACAAGAGAAAGUUGGAACAAAGAGAAAAGUUAAAGGGAUUUAGUUGUUAAUAUAUGUCGAGAUUGUUCAAAUGUGAAAUGUACUAAAGAAAAACUAAGAAAAGGAGAAACUCAAACUACAUAUUUUUAUUUUCUUCCCAAAUUAAGCACGUUAUUUUAAGAUUCCUUUUUCUGAAGCUCCUCACGCAGUAAAGUAAGAACUUAAAUGUCCUGAAUCAAUGUUUAUCUGUAUGAAUCUGUAAAGUUUAAAUCGGAAAUUAUAUUUAAAAAACAAAUUUUUCUGCAAA